UGUUUUGCCUGUUGGAGGGCGUUUGGUGGAUGCCUUGGUACGCAGCGCCGAUGAAGGACGUGUGGGGCCGCGAUAGGCCUGGGGGAGUCGCCGACAGGACUGUGAUCCCAGGAUUUCCGAAUGGGGUAACCCGUGGGGAGUUAUUUCCUCACACCAGUGUUUGCUGGGGGGAACGUAGGGAAGUGAAACAUCUCAGUACCUACAGGAGAAGAUAUUCCGGGAGUAGUGGCGAGCGAAACUGGAUGAGGCUAAACCGUGUGCAUGUGAUACUCUGCGGGGGUUGUGUGCAUGGUGUUGUGGGGUUGUUUGUCUUGUCACCGCAGUGGCGAGCGGUAGUUGAGAAAGUGUAGUGUGAGAGGAACCGGGUUGGAUACCGGACCGUAGAGGGUGAUGGUCCCGUACUUGUAGACACUAUGCCUGCCGAUGAUGAUACCCGAGUAGCGCGGGACUCGUGGAAUUCCGUGUGAAUCUGCCCUGACCGUGGGGUAAGCCUGAAUACGUCUGCGUGACCGAUAGUGUACUAGUACCGUGAGGGAAAGGUGAAAAGCACCCCGGGAGGGGAGUGAAAGAGUUCCUGAAACCGGGCGCCUGCAAUCCGUCGGGGCACUCUUUUGUGAGUGUGACGGCGUGCCUAUUGAAAAAUGAGCCUGCGAGUCAGUGGUACAUGGCGAGCUUAACUUUUGUUGGGGAGGCGUAGCGAAAGCGAGUCUGAAUAGGGCGUUUAGUCGUGUGCUCUGGACCCGAAGCGGGACGAUCUAGCCGUGGUCAGGGUGAAGCGUGGGUAAGACUGCGUGGAGGCCCGUACCCACCUGGGUUGAAAACCGGGGGGAUGAACUGUGGUUAGGGGUGAAAGGCCAAUCAAGUUCCGUGAUAGCUGGUUCUCUCCGAAAUGCAUUUAGGUGCAGCGUUUGAUGUUUCCCUGUGGGGGUAGAGCUACUGGAUGGCUGCGGGCCCGUUGCGGGUACCAAGGCCAGCCAAACUCCGAAUACCAUGGGGUUCAGUCAGGCAGUGAGACUGCGGGGGAUAAGCUCCGUUGUCUAAAGGGAAACAGCCCAGAUCGACGUCUAAGGACCCGAAGCGUGUGCUAAGUGGGAAAGGAUGUGGAGUCGCAUUGACAGCCAGGAGGUUGGCUCAGAAGCAGCCAUCCUUGAAAGAGUGCGUAACAGCUCACUGGUCUAGUGGCUCCGCGCCGAGAAUGUAGCGGGGCUCAAGCACACCUCCGAAGGCGCGGCAACGUUUUUUAGCGUUGGGUAGGAGAGCGUUCCAUGGUGGUUGAAGCCGAGGGGUGACCUGGGGUGGAUGCUAUGGAAGUGAGAAUGCAGGCAUGAGUAGCGAGAGCGGGGUGGGAAUCCCCGCCGCUGGAUGACUAAGGGUUCCGGGGCUACGUUCGUCGUCCCCGGGUGAGUCGGGUCCUAAGGCGAGGCCGACAGGCGCAGUCGAAUGGAUGAGGGAGUUGAUAUUCUCCCACCGGUUCAAUACCGUCAGGUCCGAGACGGUUGGCGUGCUUGGUGUUGCUUUUCUCUGAUAUGCCUUUCGGGGUGUGUUGGGGUGGUGAUGCUGGGUGGCGUGGCUGCAGUAGGAUAGCACAGCUGUGACGCAGGGGGAUAGCCGACUGCGGAGGUGGUUUUCCGUGGUUAAGCGUGUGGCCUGUCUCGUAGUGAAGUACGCGGGGCGUGUAGGUGAGGCGUGAUGAUGGGAGCCUUGUAGCUUGAUAUUCGGUGAUUCCGUGCUGCCGAGAAAAGCAUGCGGUGUGAGGGAUUGUUCCGCCCGUACCCUAAACCGACACUGGUGGUCAGGUAGAGAAUACUAAAGCGAUCGAGAGAAUCCUGGUCAAGGAACUCGGCAAAUUACUCCCGUACCUUCGGUAUAAGGGAGCCCAAUGAUGGUGAUCAACCGUGCGUUGUGAGUUGUUGUUGGGGGCACAGGCCAGGGGGUAGCGACUGUUUACUAAAAACACAGGUGCGUGCGAAGGUGUAAACCGCUGUAUACGCACUGACGCCUGCCCGGUGCCGGAAGGUUAAGCGGACCCGUUAGCUUUGGCGAAGCGGUGAAGUUAAGCCCCGGUAAACGGCGGUGGUAACUAUAACCAUCCUAAGGUAGCGAAAUUCCUUGUCGGGUAAGUUCCGACCUGCACGAAUGGCGUAACGACUUCCCCACUGUCUCGACCAGGAGCUCGGCGAAAUUGCAGUACGAGUAAAGAUGCUCGUUACGCGCAGAAGGACGAAAAGACCCCGGGACCUUUACUAUACCUUGGCAUUGUCGUUCGGUGUGAGUUGUGUAGCAUAGGCGGGAGACUGUGAUGCUAUGACGCUAGUUAUGGUUGAGUCGUAAUGUGAAAUACCGCUCUGCUGAUAUCGGACGUCUAACCUUGAGAGGUUUCCCUUUCAGGGACAGUGCCUGGCGGGUAGUUUAACUGGGGCGGUUGCCUCCUAAAGAGUAACGGAGGCGCCCAAGGGUUCCCUCAGCCCGUUUGGCAAGCGGGUGUUGAGUGCAAGCGCACAAGGGAGCUUGACUGUGAGAGCGGCGGCUCGAGCAGGGACGAAAGUCGGAGCUAGUGAUCCGGUGCCGGCGUACGGACGCGGCAUCGCUCAACGGAUAAAAGGUACCCCGGGGAUAACAGGCUGAUCAUCCCCAAGAGUCCAUAUCGACGGGAUGGUUUGGCACCUCGAUGUCGGCUCGUCGCAUCCUGGGGCUGGAGCAGGUCCCAAGGGUUCGGCCGUUCGCCGAUUAAAGCGGCACGCGAGCUGGGUUUAGAACGUCGUGAGACAGUUUGGUCUCUAUCCUCUGCGCGCGUUGGAGCCUUGAGGAGGCCUGCCCCUAGUACGAGAGGACCGGGGUGGACGGAUCUCUGGUGUGCCGGUCGUCCUGCCAAGGGCGCUGCCGGUUGGCUAAGUCCGGAUACGAUAACCGCUGAAAGCAUCUAAGCGGGAAGCGUUCUCCAAGAUGAGGGUUCCGUGAACUUCAAUGUUCGGGAAGCGGCAUAGAGAUGAUGUGCUUGAUAGGCGGGAUGUGGAAGCCCUGUGAGGGGUGGAGCUGACCCGUACUAACCGCUGAAGGGCAAUACAAC
Molecule: ribosomal RNA, 3067 nt
Filed under: Aeriscardovia aeriphila
Lineage: Bacteria; Bacillati; Actinomycetota; Actinomycetes; Bifidobacteriales; Bifidobacteriaceae
Description: Bacterial large subunit ribosomal RNA
Rfam family: Bacterial large subunit ribosomal RNA
Source: Rfam by way of RNAcentral